GUGAGNGGCCCGAAGUCCGUGCAGCAACCCGCAAGGGAGCAAGCGGCCGAAGGCGAGCGCAGUGACUGGGGCG
RNAcentral lists this ribosomal RNA (73 nucleotides) under uncultured bacterium. Its description in RNAcentral is "partial 16S ribosomal RNA". The record is from RNAcentral.